GGGGGCGUUUUGGAUUCGACGCCGGUUACAAAACCUGUAGUGCAUGCCGAGAGGGUGACCAAUCUCGUAAAUCCAAAGUCGCAAACUUUAUAGUUGCCAACGACGACAACUACGCACUCGCUGCCUAAGAAACAGUAGAGCGCCAUCUGACUGGAGCCGUGCUUGUGCGUCCAGGCUUCAACUACCUCAGGCGUCAAACCCCGGAGUAGCGGCGAAGCAUUCAGGUGUCAUAUUUCACAAGAUCGCGAGGAAACACGUCCGGGGUGGACUCGCUAAAACCUAAACCGGAAUCGCUACGUUGCGCGCCCUGUCGGUCGGGCUGUGACGAGCUAAAUAUAAUAGACCUGACUAAGCAUGUAGAGCUGCCGGCAGCGGACUGACGGACGCGGGUUCAAUUCCCGCCGCCUCCACCA
This 413-nucleotide transfer-messenger RNA is filed under the name Porticoccaceae bacterium. It matches the Rfam family "transfer-messenger RNA". Rfam says of the family: Bacterial tmRNA, also known as 10Sa RNA or SsrA, is named for its dual tRNA and mRNA-like properties. The record is from RNAcentral. Lineage: Bacteria; Pseudomonadati; Pseudomonadota; Gammaproteobacteria; Cellvibrionales; Porticoccaceae.